UUGCUCUAGGGAUGGAUAUGUCCCUCACAUAAUUCUUCCAUCCGAUUCACUUUGUCAGCUUUGUUUUUUAAUGUUUUGCUGAUCAUUGUAGGAUGGAAUAUCU
Molecule: non-coding RNA, 103 nt
Organism: Glycine max (soybean)
Lineage: Eukaryota; Viridiplantae; Streptophyta; Magnoliopsida; Fabales; Fabaceae
Source: Rfam